AUGGAUUAUCAACCAAGGGAGAAGCAUCUCUCUGGAUAGAGAUUGUACUUUUCUUGUGUUGGUACUGGUUGUUGGAAGGGCUAUAUCAGGCACCCAAAGGAAGUCUGCAGUGUCUGAGACUACUUUGGAUGAAUUCCUAACAUUCACUGAAGGAUCCUAGAACAAUGCUCAUUAUAAAGACAUAUAAGUAUGUUCUGCUUUGCAAGGAAUGCUGCAUUCUUGUUACAUUGCUUAUUACAUGGAAGAAAAUUCAAGUUAUUUGCUCCCUUCCUAGAAUACUGAAGACUUAUCGGUGCCAGUGUCUAGGUGCCAGCAGUGGGGUUCUGAUUUCCUCUGUGAGGCAAGACCAGCCCUGUGCCACACAGCUGGUUCCACUGGGCUCCAGUGGCCACAUCACAUAUCAUGACUGGACCCUGUAGUCAACAUGGAGGCGCUGCUGGGGACUGUGUUUGAGAAACAGCAUUUUGGCCCUACAGCAGUUGUGAGACAGGAGAGUGGAAAAAGUGUGAGAAACAGCCCUUCAGAAAUCAAGAUUACAGAAGUUUUAAAGGAAAUGAUGCUCCAGGCAACAGAAGAUACCAUAGCGGAGAGGAGACCACGCAGAAGCAGAGGGAAAAUGUGAGAAGGCAGGAGCAAGAGAGAAUCUAUUAUAGACUGUUGACACACCUGUCCUUCUCAGACCACUGGGGUUAAGGGAGAGGCAAAAGAGUUGGGAAUGUAUGACCGAAGACUUUAUUGCUCAUAAUGUUGCUCUAAAUUUUAAAACUGGCAAUAAAUUAAAUUAUUUUU
Molecule: long non-coding RNA, 789 nt
Organism: Gallus gallus (chicken)
Lineage: Eukaryota; Metazoa; Chordata; Aves; Galliformes; Phasianidae
Source: Ensembl